Molecule: ribosomal RNA, 374 nt
Filed under: uncultured organism
Description: partial 16S ribosomal RNA
Rfam family: Bacterial small subunit ribosomal RNA
Source: RNAcentral
GUAGGUGGCAAGCGUUGUCCGGAAUUAUUGGGCGUAAAGCGCGCGCAGGCGGUUCUUUAAGUCUGAUGUGAAAGCCCACGGCUCAACCGUGGAGGGUCAUUGGAAACUGGAGAACUUGAGUACAGAAGAGGAAAGCGGAAUUCCACGUGUAGCGGUGAAAUGCGUAGAGAUGUGGAGGAACACCAGUGGCGAAGGCGGCUUUCUGGUCUGUAACUGACGCUGAGGCGCGAAAGCGUGGGGAGCAAACAGGAUUAGAUACCCUGGUAGUCCACGCCGUAAACGAUGAGUGCUAAGUGUUAGGGGGGUUUUCCGCCCCCCUUAGUGCUGCAGCUAACGCAUUAAGCACUCCGCCGUGGGGUACGGCCGCAAGGCUG